UUGAGCCGUGUGCGGUGAAAGUCGCACGCACGGUUCUGAGGGGGCUGGGUGAGCCGCAAGGCUCACCCGGCUACCCGAC
RNAcentral lists this non-coding RNA (79 nucleotides) under Deinococcus hopiensis KR-140. Lineage: Bacteria; Thermotogati; Deinococcota; Deinococci; Deinococcales; Deinococcaceae. The record is from RNAcentral.